RNAcentral lists this small nucleolar RNA (158 nucleotides) under Canis lupus dingo (dingo). Lineage: Eukaryota; Metazoa; Chordata; Mammalia; Carnivora; Canidae. The record is from RNAcentral.
UGUCACUAUAACAUUUUGGUAGUAAAAGGAAAAAAACGAAACAAUGAAUUUGCAAAUGCAGGUAGCCAGUGUGGUCCGGGAGGGGCAAGCCUCCCGCUGACACGGCACAGGACUUGGGGCUCAACGAGGGUAGUCUGGUAGUAAUUCUUGCUACAAAG